RNAcentral lists this unclassified non-coding RNA (246 nucleotides) under uncultured Mortierella. RNAcentral describes it as "sequence contains ITS2". Lineage: Eukaryota; Fungi; Mortierellomycota; Mortierellomycetes; Mortierellales; Mortierellaceae. The record is from RNAcentral.
AACACCUCAACACUCUCGAUUUGUUUCGAAUGAGUGUUGGAUUUGAGCAAACCCAACGCCUUUCUGCUAGUCAGACUUGCGGCGGGUUGCUUGAAAUGCAGGUGCAGCUGAGUUUUCUUCUGAGCUAAUAGCAUACUUAAUUAGUCCCGUAAAAAGGAUUAUUAAUCUGCUGAAGCUUACACCAAAGGAAGAGCUCUUGGCUGACUGAUGCAGAAUUACGCUUAGCUGGCAACAGCUUUGUAAAAC